RNAcentral lists this small RNA (771 nucleotides) under Pan troglodytes (chimpanzee). RNAcentral's name for it is "retained intron". The record is from RNAcentral. Lineage: Eukaryota; Metazoa; Chordata; Mammalia; Primates; Hominidae.
GCCAGCGAAGUCCUAGAGGCGGUCUCCAAAGAGCACGUCUCUCUGCUAUCUUGGUCUGGCGGGAGGCCUUGAGAGGCGACUGGCAAGGAGAGAGAACUCCUGGGUCCCAUUUAGCCAGGAAGUAGCACCAGAGGACCCCCACAUUCCCGCCUCCCAGCUUCCUGAGGGGCUGAGCUAUUCCCUGGACUCUGGGGCCCACUCCAGAGAGCGUGGGCCAGCCCGAGGAGGCAAGCCCGGAGGAGCAGCCAGAGGAGGCGAGUGCUGAGGAGGAGCGGCUGGAGGACCAGGAGGAGGAGGAGGCGGCGGCCGCCGCGUACCUGGACGAGCUGCCCGAGCCGCUGCUGCUGCGCGUGCUGGCCGCACUGCCGGCCGCCGAGCUGGUGCAGGCCUGCCGCCUGGUGUGCCUGCGCUGGAAGGAGCUGGUGGACGGCGCCCCGCUGUGGCUGCUCAAGUGCCAGCAGGAGGGGCUGGUGCCCGAGGGCGGCGUGGAGGAGGAGCGCGACCACUGGCAGCAGUUCUACUUCCUGAGCAAGCGGCGCCGCAACCUUCUGCGUAACCCGUGUGGGGAAGAGGACUUGGAAGGCUGGUGUGACGUGGAGCAUGGUGGGGACGGCUGGAGGGUGGAGGAGCUGCCUGGAGACAGUGGGGUGGAGUUCACCCACGAUGAGAGCGUCAAGAAGUACUUCGCCUCCUCCUUUGAGUAAGGAGAAGGGGGUGGAGGAGGUGGGAAGGGGGGAGUGUUCGCUCUGUCCUAACUCCAGUUCUCCCAGG